This is a long non-coding RNA of Felis catus (domestic cat), 250 nucleotides long. RefSeq lists it as uncharacterized. Lineage: Eukaryota; Metazoa; Chordata; Mammalia; Carnivora; Felidae. The record is from RefSeq and is a predicted model, not a curated record. The transcript has 2 exons.
CCUGUGUUACAAAACUUUCUUACAUUGUGAAAGCAAUGAAUGAAGUUCAGCAGGACUCCUGUAAGAAUGCCGAUUCAUCCCACAUCGCGUUGGUCAAACAGGACUUCGACCUUGUCGCCUCCCUCUCUCCCUCACCCGCCCAGGUGAACGCCAAGAAGACAGAAAAGAAGAUCUGUCCUCCUCUCUGAAAUCCAAGUGCUCAAAGCAGGGCUGAUGGGGAGCAGGUGAUCAAUAAACACUGUUGAAGCGA